Molecule: long non-coding RNA, 3421 nt
Organism: Alligator mississippiensis (American alligator)
Lineage: Eukaryota; Metazoa; Chordata; Crocodylia; Alligatoridae
Exons: 2
Source: RefSeq, a predicted model, not a curated record
GGCGGGGCCGCGCUGCUCGCGUCUGCGCACGGCCCGCUCCGAGCCCGGCAGCGCGGGGCGCCCGGCGCAGCCACAGCCUGCCCGGCCUCCCGCUCCCGCUCCCCGCCUUCCCCUCCUCCAGCGCGGGCUGCGGCGCCUGCACCCCGCCCGGCCCCGGCCCCGGCCCCGCCGCAGCAGCAGCAGCAGCAGGGGGAGCGGCUGGGCCGGGCGGGGAGCGGAGCGGAGCGGAGCAGGGUCCCGGCUCGGGGCGGGGCGGGGCGGGGCGGAGCGGGGGCGAGGUGCCCGGCGCGGGCAGGCGGGCCCUCCUGGGGGCUCGGGCCGGGCUGUGCGCGGGGCGACGUCUCGGGGCUUUGUCCCCUCCGCCCCGCUCUGGGCACACGGCCGGAGCCGACAGCACUGGGGCUCCGCCACGGCCUGGGGCUCUUCGCGCUUCCUCUCGGUUCCUGGCACUCCCCGCGCGGAGCCGCCCGUGCCAAGCGGCACCUGCAUGGCGAAGGGCAGCUUCAAGACAGAAAGCCUGCCAUGGCGCUGAGGCCGCGGCGGGCGCAGCCGUGCCAGCCCAGUGCUCGGCCGCGCUGGGGCAGAGGAGGAAGCGGAGCCCCGCACCCAGCUCCGUGGGGCAGGACGAGGGAAGGGGCCGGGGCAGCCCUGGCUCUGCGGCCGGUGUGAAGCGCGGUUGUGUUUGCUGUGCCCAGGCUGCGGUGCACACUGAGCAGGUUCGUGUGUGCCCCUGCUCCUGGGCUUUGCCGGUGCCCCGCGGCGCCAGGAAGAGAUGUUUUCCCCUCCUGUCGCUACAGGUGUCCGGGUUUCCUCACCUUCCCCGCGAGCACUGGGUGGGGCUGCCCCCAAGGCGAGGUUGGUGCCGGGGGUGCCAGUGCUGCAGCGAGGGCUAAAGCCUCGGCCUUCCUGGGGAGAGGUCUGCCCUCCAUUCAGGGUCAGACUCAUCCUGCAUUUGGGCUCAGAAGAGCUUUUACAACGUGGCCAGACGGGGAUGGACUGAGGGCAUUUUGCUGCCGUCUCGAGGGAAGGGCAGAGCUCUCUUCCUUGGAUCUCUUGAGGGUACGUGAGCAACCCUUGCACCAGCCAGGCAUUGGCAGCACCCUCGCCCCCCUGUUCUACCUGUGGCAGGUGAGGGCAUUUUUCAUGUUUAGGGGCAAUAUGCCUUGCAGUGGUGUGACAGGGUUGUUGUGUGGCUUAGGCAUAGACUGAAGUAGCACUUGUGUAGGGUGCUUGGAUCCGGCUCUGAGCAGGGUUGGACUCAGCGGUGGAUCCAGCAGGAGGGCGAUGAGGGACGCAGCCACAGCCCUCCCUGGCUCUGCCACCUGUGCCCACCGACCAGCUUGAGCUCCCCAGUUGAUCAGUGCAACUCCCAGCCAGAGCAGCUGCUUUCAUGCUGCUGCUCGCCCUGUUGCCUCCUCUGGUGCUGAAUCCAGGGGCUGGCGGGGAGGGGGUGGAGGGCAAGGGCGGACAGCAGCAGUGCCCGUACCCCGAGCGCCGGAGCGCUGUGACAGCGGCGGCUCCUGCCAGAGCUGCAGCCAUCAGCCGGGAGCGCAGAGGGUCCCUGCACACGCACAGCUCGGGCAGGAGCCGGCACGGACGAGGUGGGGAGCUCAGAUCCAUGGGGUGCGACCGCACGGCUGCCCCUGCUACCACCCCCACCCCAAUCUGCCCUUGGCUAAACUGCACCACCUCCUGCGGCCCCUUCCAACCUUACCUUGCUCUGAUACCACGCUGUAGUGACAGGAGGCUUGCUCUACCUUCAGGCAGUGCUAGUUGAAUUGGCGGGGUGAGGGAGAGCCCCUGCUCCCCCUGCGGUGGCCCUCCUCUGCCAUUGCCAUUUCCUUAAAAUCUCCUUUCCAGCUAAAAAAAGCAUUUGUUUGACCUACCCAGAAAUGGUUGUGAGCAGUAGGUAAGCAGAGCUUGUUGCACCAAAACCAUCUGAGCCAUUGGGCACCCUGGCCUGUGCCUGCCCACUAAACACGGCUGUCUCCGCAGCUAACAAUGGAGUAGAGACAUGCUGCCCCGCCUGCCUGAUACGUCCGUCCACACCGACCCAGCACCUGCAGGACGUGUCUGCCCUCACCCGGGUCUGCACGGCAGAGCUCGUGAAGAAAUGGGUUUCCUACAGCACAAAACCGCCAUGAUUUCCUGCUCCGCGCUCAGGGUGACGGUUUAAAAUUUUAAACACUUUUGUGAAGGCAAACAUCAGUUGGCAAAGAGGAAAUAAUGAAUAUUUGCAACAAUUCAUUUUGAUUUUGGCCAUUUUCAGUUUGUUUUUAGAUGAUAAGGCACCGCAUUUCUACAUGAACAGCUAGUCUGAACAACCGCCACCAAAACCAGUUAGAAACAUUUCAUCCUCGUGCUGUUGAAAAGGGACGUUUCAGCUUUUUACAGUCACUUUCUUUCUUAAAAAACAAAACUAAAACACAACGAACAACACCACAUUCCUGCAAAAGAAAAAUAAUGAAACGAAGAAAAACCACAACUCUGGAUUUCUACCUGAAAUCUCUGGGCCCGUCUCGGACUCAGGGUUGUAAAGCCAGCAGUGCUAACGUGUGGGACCCCUGGACCCUGAAAGGAGCGCAAGGCACCCCGGGGUGCUGGGAAACCCUGAGAAUCGCUGGUCUAGGGACAAGCAGAUGACGGAAUGACACAAGAGCAUUUUUUGAGUAUAAGUAAAGCUGCCGUGAAGAAAGUGGAGAAAAAACCGUUCCCCUUCCCCACACAAGGCAGGACACGCGGCAGCGGCUUCACGCUGCAGCCAAGGAGAUCUCGAGUCAUUCUCCGAAGAAACCCUUCCCGAGUGCUAGAGCAGCAGUGCAACACGCUGCCUAGGGAAGUCGUGGCACCUCCUUCGCUGCAGGUUGUCAAGGAAGAGUCUGGAGCAGGAUCUCGCUGGGACAGCUGAGGAAGAGCAGAUCUUGCAUCUGCGCAGGGGGCAGACUGGAUGACCCUGGAGGUCCCUUGGGAGCCUGCGCUUCCCUGGUGUCAACACCUGUCACCGGAGCAGGGGAGCGUCUGCCAGCUCUGUGUGCUGCACCCACGGGCGGCGGAGGGCCAGGACUAAGGGGGCUUAGCCCCCGCAAGCCUUUGGCAGCGGCCAGCGACAGCAGCGCCACAGCGCCGGCCGCCCGCAGCACCUGGUGCCGCUCCUCCGCCGCCACGUGCAGCAACAGUGCACACUGGCCGUGCAAUGGCACUACUGGAGGGAGCGAGGGUGGGCAAGUGGGGCUCGGCCUCCCCAAAUAAUAGUUUCCGCCACCCUUAAGUCUGGGCCCACCUUCCCUGGUGAGACGCUUUGCUCGGAUACCUGGUCCCCACUCUCCGGCCACGCUGAAGGAAAGGCGGUGCAGCAGGGACAGAGAAUCGGAUUCAGUCUGAGUUCCCCUGGGAUUCCCUCAAAUAAAGAGAAGUGAUCUGA